AAGUCGUAACAAGGUUUCCGUAGGUGAACCUGCGGAAGGAUCAUUAACACGUAUCCAACGUUAAACAACCCUGUGAACUUUAAGUCCCCUCUUGCAGCCCAUGAGGAACAGCAAUCCCGGUAAAUCAUUGCCAAACAGUUUUGAUUCGGGACCUCUGUCCAAAAGGAGUUGCAAUCGAAGGGUGGAAGCAGUGGCAUGGCUUCCCCAAGCAGUUAGUGAAUGACAGUGUCACUGACUGUGUAAGGAUAACGCCGAUCACCGACCGGCAGACAUGUCACAGGGUCACCACGCCCCUUAAUCACUCCACUUGAAAAUGCCCCGCCUAGUGGUAACGCGCUAGGUAAAAAAAACCGAACAACUGUUAACAAUGGAUAUCUUGGUUCUC
Molecule: unclassified non-coding RNA, 385 nt
Filed under: fungal sp.
Lineage: Eukaryota; Fungi
Description: partial internal transcribed spacer region
Rfam family: Eukaryotic small subunit ribosomal RNA (bases 1-46)
Source: RNAcentral